Molecule: ribosomal RNA, 245 nt
Filed under: uncultured bacterium
Lineage: Bacteria
Description: partial 16S ribosomal RNA
Rfam family: Bacterial small subunit ribosomal RNA
Source: RNAcentral
GUCCAAACGUUAUUCGGAAUCACUGGGCGUACAGAGUUCGUAGGCGGUCCCAUAAGUUAGGUGUGAAAUCCCUCGGCUCAACCGAGGAACUGCGCUUAAAACUGUGGGACUCGAGGGAGAUAGAGGAAAGCGGAACUGAUGGUGGAGCGGUGAAAUGCGUUGAUAUCAUCAGGAACACCGGUGGCGAAGGCGGCUUUCUGGGUCUUACCUGACGCUGAGGAACGAAAGCCAGGGGAGCGAACGGG